GGAUUAGAUACCCUGGUAGUCCACGCCGUAAACGAUGUCUACUAGCCGUUGGGAGACUUGAUCUCUUAGUGGCGCAGUUAACGCGAUAAGUAGACCGCCUGGGGAGUACGGCCGCAAGGUUAAAACUCAAAUGAAUUGACGGGGGCCCGCACAAGCGGUGGAGCAUGUGGUUUAAUUCGACGCAACGCGAAGAACCUUACCAGGUCUUGACAUCCUAGAAACUUAGCAGAGAUGCUUUGGUGCCUUCGGGAAUCUAGUGACAGGUGCUGCAUGGCUGUCGUCAGCUCGUGCCG
Molecule: ribosomal RNA, 293 nt
Filed under: uncultured bacterium
Lineage: Bacteria
Description: partial 16S ribosomal RNA
Rfam family: Bacterial small subunit ribosomal RNA
Source: RNAcentral